UGUCUGUCUCAACUGGUGGGUGUGUGCACUUGUCAUGCAUGUCUGUGAAAUUAUGAAUGGACAGAGAGCGUGGUGUGGUGUAAGAGAGGCGCUGAGAAAGGGAGGGAUGGAGAGAGGAAAGGCGUAUCACUAGAGACACAGAAUUAUCAUCAUCUGGCAGCACAUCCUCUCCGUCAAAGGUGGAGAAGAACACGGCUGCGAGCAAGUGAUAAAGAUAAAGUGUGUAUCUUCUCCUGCCAGCACACUCCUGCACAGUCCAGGGUCCUACUGCACCCUGCAACCACUUAUCCAUUAUGGAGCAGAAGACGACAUCACCUCAGAAGCACAUGAUGAAGAGCAGGUCCAAGUCUACAGAAGAAAUCCCACAAGCCAAGAAGGCCUUCCAUAUUCCUCAGAAGUCCCUUCCUGGUGGAUCAGAUUUAGAAAAAGUGAAGGAGGGUCAGGAAGAAUCUGAAACCCCGACAUCAGCCUCAGAAGAGUUGAAGUAAUAUACAGGAUACAAGAGCCUGGGAUAAUGCAAACGCACACACACACACGCGCACACACAAAAUGUACACAUCUACUGUAUAUUGCAGCAACAUUUUAAACACAAUUCUCCAUUUCUGUGCUAAUGCAAACUUUGUCGUCUUACCAUAUCGACUGAAUUUGUUGCAGUAUUGUACUUGUCAGCUAUUUAAUGCUUAUAUGUUUUUGACUCCAAAAUGAUUGGUGUCCUUCAUGGCUGUAAGUUCAGCAUGUUUAGAGUUAAACAAAGCUUUUUUUACCCUCAUUGUGUUCCUGAUUGUGCUGAAUGGUAUAUUUAACUGUUUGUAUAUUUUCUGUUUCUUACUUGUCUUGUGCAGCUCAACCGUUCCCUGUAAAUAGAAUUAUAAAUCGGUACAGUAUAAAGGCAAAUGUGUGCAAAAUGAAAAAAACAGGCAAUGGUCAAGGACAAGGUCAAUAAACUAAAGACAAGGCAUGUUAGAUGUGUCUCUUUGUAUGUGUGUUUGUGCAUGAAUGAUAGAAGGAUCGACUGACAUCUCUUCAAGAUUGUAUUCCCACUUUGCAUCCUGUCAAUAAUCCCAUGAUGGGCUCCAGGUCCAUCACCAUCCUGACCAUGCACAUUUUAAAUGCGAGUGCCAAUAAUUCUGGAGUUGACUGACAUUAAAUCCUUUGCCAUUAAAACCUGUGUGUAGGCAUGUUUACUGUAGUUAUUGUGUUAUGGAUUUGUUAAAAUAUUGAGAUUGCGUAUUGCAUGUACUGUAUGCGGUUGAGCAGAUGGUGUUUUUUUUUUUUAAAGAUGCUUUUUUGG
Molecule: long non-coding RNA, 1291 nt
Organism: Clarias gariepinus (North African catfish)
Lineage: Eukaryota; Metazoa; Chordata; Actinopteri; Siluriformes; Clariidae
Exons: 5
Source: RefSeq, a predicted model, not a curated record